This 406-nucleotide ribosomal RNA is filed under the name uncultured bacterium. Its description in RNAcentral is "partial 16S ribosomal RNA". It matches the Rfam family "Bacterial small subunit ribosomal RNA", at positions 30 to 526 of the family's 1533-position model. The record is from RNAcentral.
AUUGAACGCUGGCGGCAGGCCUAACACAUGCAAGUCGAACGAGUGGAGGACGGGUUAGUAACGUCUGGGAAACUGCCUGAUGUAGGGGGAUAACUACUGGAAACGGCAGCUAAUACCGCAUACCAUCGGAUGUGCGCAGAUGGGAUUAGCUAGUAGGUGGGGUAAAGGCUCACCUCGGCGACGAUCCCUAGCUGGUCUGAGAGGAUGACCAGCCAGCCUGGGACUGGUACGCGGUCCAGACUCCUACGGGAGGCAUCAGUGGGGAGUAUUUCACAUUGGGCGCAAGCCUGAUGCAUCCAUGCCGCAUGUAUGAAGAAGGCCUUCGGGUUGUAAAGUACUUUCAGCGGGGAUGCGUUACCCGCAGAAGAAGCGCCGGCUGACUCCGUGCCAGCUGCCGCAGUAAUUC